Molecule: long non-coding RNA, 1693 nt
Organism: Papaver somniferum (opium poppy)
Lineage: Eukaryota; Viridiplantae; Streptophyta; Magnoliopsida; Ranunculales; Papaveraceae
Exons: 3
Source: RefSeq, a predicted model, not a curated record
UCCUCUCGUUUCUUCUUCUUCCAUUUUCUUUGUUGCUGACGAUUGUGAGCAAGACUUGAGAAUUCUGUUGAGAGAAUCAAUCGAAGAGGAAGAACUGAUGCAUUAGAAGUUGUUACUGGUGUUGACGAAGAGUUGAUGGUGGUAUUGAUGUAUUGUUUAGCAGAUUUAGGGUUUCUCAGAGAGAUGAUUUAAAGUUCGGAAUUAGAAAUGGAUUCACGGGAUCUUGCUAGAACUGAAGAUGGGGUUUGCGAGUUUUAGUUAUGGAAUUGAAGAUGAAAUCAGAUAUUUGAGUGAUCGAUUAAUUAGGGUUGCUGUGAGAUGAAUUUGGAAUUGAGAUUAAGAGAAUAAGAGUUGAAUCGAGAGUAUUUGAUGAUUUAAGAAGAAUCAGAUGGAAUCAACGAGUGGGUUUUGUUUGAAUUGAAGUUACAGAUAGAUGAUAGAAGAGAAAUUGAAUUAUAAGUUAUGGUUUGUAUUUGUAAGAUGAACUCAGAGAAGCUGAAGAAGAUGAAAUCGGCAGUUUAGGGUUUUGAUGAAAUUAUGGAUGGAGAUCAAACAAAGGGUGAAUCAUCUAAUUCAGAUUGGGAUUUUGGCUAAGGUAAUAAUUCUUUCAAUUUCCAAGUAAAGGAGUUCAUAAUCGAGGUUGGAUGAUUAUUAUUGUUAAGAAGUUUGUGUUAUGAGUUGAAUACAGAAUCUGUUAGAUGAUUGCUAUGUUAGCGGCAUUUGGUAUUUGUGAAGAAAGUAAGUUUAGAAUUGGAAUUGAAUUGUGAUUAUUGGUGGAAGUUGUGGAGUUGCAGCUGAGAUAGUAGUGGGAGAUAGAGAAUGGAGAUAAUGUUUGUUUGGAUUGAUUAUGGUUGUAACUGAGUAGUGUUGAGAAGAAUUGGAUUUGUGUUUGCUGUAAUUGACAGGGAGAAGGAAAAGUGUGUUAAACUGAUAUUUCAGUUGAAGUUAGUUUUACAGGUUGGGACUCAUAUUGAUUGUACAUGGUUAUUGGUGUUGAAAUAAGAAGUGAGUUAGGGAUUGCAGUGGUGAUAAAAUUGAGAUUGAACAUGAAUGUGAUGAACUACAGAUUCAAGGCCAAGAAGUGUUGAGUUUUCUGGAGUAAACUGGUGAUGAAAUGAUUAGUGGUGUAUAAUUGUGGAAUUUGAAUUACAGUUGGUGGUGAUGUAGUCGUGGUGAGGUUAUACUGGGGGUUUAUGGAAGGGGUUCAGAUGAAUGUUUUACAGUAAAGAUUGAAUGCAACUGAUGUUGCGUGUGGUAAUGGGUUUAUUUGUGUUGAGUUGGAAUUUCAGUUAGGAGUGAAGUGUAAUCAAAAGGGAGUUGCAGAUGAGAGUUGAGUAUUGUUUGGGUUGAGGCAUUUUGGGAUAUUGCAGUUACUGCACAUGUAGAUAUAUAGGAUGAAGUUGUUUGUAAUGUUGAUGUGGCAAUGGCCUUUGAGAAAGCCUGCAAUUUCAAACCAAGUUAGUCUAUUAACAACGAUCGAUUCAAAUGAUGAACUAGUGGAUUGUGGAUCUCGAGGUAGGCGUGGCUUGUCAUCAAAAGAGUUUCAGAGACAGAUCAGAGUUGCGCAGCGAAAGCUUCGAGGAGUUGAGUCAGUUUGUUAGAUUACUUAUGCUAUGUUUCUUAUGUUGUAUAUUCUCUUUGGAAACAAAAUGACUAUUGUACAUGUAUUACUUGAGAGACGUUCUUUUAUAUA